GGCUUCGUAGCUCAGCUAGUAGGGCGCCGGUAAUGUUUGGGCACGUUGCAUUUGUCGCCGAUUCGAAUUCGGUCGAAGCCC
Non-coding RNA from Paragonimus heterotremus, 81 nucleotides. The record is from the annotation of a GenBank genome assembly. Lineage: Eukaryota; Metazoa; Platyhelminthes; Trematoda; Plagiorchiida; Troglotrematidae.